UGAGGAAUAUUGGACAAUGGAGGCAACUCUGAUCCAGCCAUGCCGCGUGCAGGAAGACGGCCCUAUGGGUUGGAAACUGCUUUUAUACGGGAAGAACCACAUCUACGUGUAGAUGCUUGACGGUACCGUAUGAAUAAGGAUCGGCUAACUCCGUGCCAGCAGCCGCGGUAAUACGGAGGGUCCAAGCGUUAUCCGGAAUCAUUGGGUUUAAAGGGUCCGUAGGCGGAAUAAUAAGUCAGUGGUGAAAGUCUGCAGCUCAACUGUAGAAUUGCCAUUGAUACUGUUGUUCUUGAAUUAUUAUGAAGUGGUUGGAAUAAGUAGUGUAGCGGUGAAAUGCAUAGAUAUUACUUAGAACACCUAUUGCGAAGGCAGAUCACUAAUAAUAUAUUGACGCUGAGGGACGAAAGCGUAGGUAGCGAACAGGAUUAGAUACCCUGGUAGUCUACGCCGUAAACGAUGGUUACUAGCUGUCCGGCCUAAUUGAGGGCUGGGUGGUUAAG
RNAcentral lists this ribosomal RNA (500 nucleotides) under uncultured bacterium. RNAcentral's name for it is "bacterial SSU rRNA". It matches the Rfam family "Bacterial small subunit ribosomal RNA", at positions 355 to 851 of the family's 1533-position model. The record is from RNAcentral.